UACGAAGGGGGCUAGCGUUGCUCGGAAUCACUGGGCGUAAAGCGCACGUAGGCGGAUCUUUAAGUCAGGGGUGAAAUCCCAAGGCUCAACCUUGGAACUGCCUUUGAUACUGGGGAUCUCGAGUCCGGAAGAGGUGAGUGGAACUGCGAGUGUAGAGGUGAAAUUCGUAGAUAUUCGCAAGAACACCAGUGGCGAAGGCGGCUCACUGGUCCGGUACUGACGCUGAGGUGCGAAAGCGUGGGGAGCAGACAGG
RNAcentral lists this ribosomal RNA (253 nucleotides) under uncultured bacterium. Its description in RNAcentral is "partial 16S ribosomal RNA". It matches the Rfam family "Bacterial small subunit ribosomal RNA", at positions 524 to 776 of the family's 1533-position model. The record is from RNAcentral.